AAGUUUCCUUAGAAGUGCAGUAUGCAGAUGAUCUGAUGGAUCCAAAAAUGAAUAACUCCAGUGCAUCCUCUAACAAGAAAAGAGAUCAUGGGGACGGAACCGAGUCUGCCAGUUUUCCAUCUAUCCAUAACAAUCCUCAAGACUUGGACUCCAUAUUUGCAUUACUUCAGGAGGACAUUAUAGCAUUUGUGAAGAAUGAACUGCAGAUGAUUCAGAUUGUUUUGAGUCAAGGAAACUCUGACUAUUUAGAGACUCAG
This is a long non-coding RNA of Pundamilia nyererei, 257 nucleotides long. RefSeq lists it as uncharacterized. The transcript has 4 exons. Lineage: Eukaryota; Metazoa; Chordata; Actinopteri; Cichliformes; Cichlidae. The record is from RefSeq and is a predicted model, not a curated record.